GUCAAAUGUUUUUAAUUUUAUUUGUCUUUCAAACUUCUAUUCAAGUAGCCCCUUUGUCUCCUACUUGUACUAUAAAUAAGUGUUUCAUUUCAUGAAUAAAAUCAGAUCAUUUUGGAUUAAGUUUUUGAGUUUAAACUCUCUGUUCUCUUUAGAACUUGUUUUCGAUUGUCUUCGUGUGUCAUAUCCGAGCAAUUCACUUCUCAACUAGUUGGUCUUGUGAGUCAUAUCAAGCAACCAGUUCGAGAUCUUCCUUGGCGGACUUGUGAGUCAUAUCAAGCGCCAUUUAAGCCGGGAAUAUCAAGGGAACAUCCGCAACCCUUGUGCGACCCUUCACUCCAUCAGUUCUCCUUUCCGGAGUUCAUAUCCAAACGAAUCCAGUCGAGGGCAAUCCGAUCUUAGGGUCCUUCAAGUGGUAUCAGAGCCCACUCGUCUGGUAUUCUCUAUCUCGAUCUCGAUCCAUCUUCUCAUAUUCCAUUUCUUCUAAACACUUCUUCAUCUGUCUAUCUUGAAUCCGGGCCCCUCAUUACCAUCCACUUAAAAAAAAAAAAAAAAAAAGCAAAGAAACAAGCAAGAUCCGUAUUUAAAAAAAAAAAAAAGAGUUUACUUUGUGGAUUGGUGGUGGAAGAGGAAGCCUGUUGGCUGAGGAGAAAUCCAGCCUUUGAGGAGGUUAAAACUGAUUCUUUUAAAAAAACAAAUCUCUUAUCUUUCUAUCUUUUAAAAUUCCCGUGUGUUUUGCUUGAGUUUGGCCAUCCAGAUUCCGAGAUCUGUUCUUCAUAGAACUUUGAGUGGAAACUUGAGUGAUCACUUUUAAAUCGAGAGAAACACGUGUGUGGGUAAGGAACAAACACUUGAGAGUGUGAGUUUUAAUUCUAACGUUUUGUGUUUAAGAAAUUUCAGGAACCAUGAGUAGCCACGAAGAUCAAAACCGUCCUGGAAAUUCAGUUGCUGGACUGUCUAAUCUUCAGAUGCGAGCUUUGAAUGAUUCUUUUUCUAAUCUUAUAAACACAGGUCUAGAGCAGAUCCAUCAAAGGCUUGACGAACUUCAAGUAAGCCAAUCCCAUCCUAGAUUGGGAACAAGAACCAAUCAGCCGUGAAGGAACACCCGGUCAGAUGAUGAGUUUCCUGAUGAGGACGCCCAAGAGGACGAGGUCAGAACCGCUUACCGGCCAAGAAGAGGUCAUAGAACUCGAAACCCAGGUGAUGUCAAUCCAUUUGCUAGAAACAAUCGUACUGAUGAUAGCUUGAACGGAUUGAAAUUAAAAAUUCCACCUUUUGAUGGUAAAAACGGCCCUGAUGCUUUUCUAGAGUGGGAAAGAAAAAUUGAGCAUCUCUUUGAUUGUCAAAACUAUUCUGAACUUAGAAAAGUAAGGCUUGCUGCCACUGAAUUCUCUGGCUAUGCUAUUAACUGGUAUGAUCAAGUGUUGACCCACAGGAGGAGAACAGGUGAACGGCCGAUUGAGACAUGGGAUGAGCUUACCUUGUUGAUGAGGAAACGAUUCGUGCCAACCCAUUAUCACCGCGACCUCCACCAGAAGCUAAGACGUUUGCUUCAAGGAACCAAAUCUGUGGAAGACUAUUAUCAAGAGAUGGAAGUUUUGAUGACCAAAACGGACACGGAUGAACCUUUGGACGCCACUAUGGCUCGCUUUCUUUCAGGCCUCAACCGUGACAUCCAAGAUCGUAUGGAGCUUCAAGAGUAUGGAAGUGUGGAACAGAUGCUACACAAAGCCAUCUUGAUCGAGCAACAACUUAAGAGAAGGAGUUUCUCAAAACCGGCCACUACUUCUAAGCCGGCCUACUCUCCUAAACCGGCCUAUGCUCCUAAGCCAAGCUAUCAAGACAAAGGUAAGUCACCUAUCACAACACAUACUGCCUUUAAAACUGAUAUUUCCACUCGUGAUGACAAAGGAAAAGCAGUAGACGCCUCAAGCCGAGCAAGAGACAUUAGGUGUUUCAAAUGUCAAGGGCUAGGACAUUAUGCCAAGAACUGUCCAAACCAGCGUGUGAUGAUUCUCUUGGAGAAUGGUGACGUUGAGUCCGAGGAUGAACAAGAAGACAAGGAGGAUCUUGGUCCUAUCUUUGAUGAGGAAGAGGAGUCCUUUGACUACCCACAUCACGGACCAUUGCUUGUUGCUAGGAAGGUUUGGGACGAUCCUAUCUUCGAUGAGACGGACGGCCACGCGAACGGCCACAUGGACAACGACCUCGACCCAAUCUUUGAUCCAGAUUCUGAACCGAUCUUUGAUGAGGAAGAUAGCUUUGACUACCCAGCUCACGGACCACUACUGGUCACUAGACGUUCCUUGAGUGUUCAGCCCAAAACCAAUGAAAAGGAACAAAGGGAGAAUCUCUUUCAUUCUCGUUGUUUAAUCUCUGAAAAAGUUUGUUCUUUAAUCAUUGAUGGUGGGAGUUGUACUAAUGUUGCUACUGAUAUUCUUGUUAGGAAACUAGGUCUAGCUACUCGACCUAUUUCUCGUCCUUUCAGGUUGGAAUGGCUCAAUGAAACUGGUGAACAGUAUGUUAAGGAGCAAGUCACGAUCCCUCACACCAUUGGACGUUAUGAAGACGAGGUUGUGUGCAACGUUCUCCCCAUGGAUGCUUGUCACGUCCUGUUAGGACGUCCAUGGCAGUUUGACAAAAGGACCGUCCAUGAUGGAUACACAAACCAACACUCCUUUGACCAUAAAGGAAAGAAGAUCACGCUUGUACCUCUCUCGCCUUUGGAGGUCCAUCAAGACCAGCUCCAACUCAAAAAGAAUCGUGAACAAGAGUCCAAACCGGACAAACCUGAAUCUUCAAUCCGGAACUCCAACUUCUUUAUCAAACAAAGUCAGGUUAAGAAGUCUCUUUACUCUCAAAAGCCUUUUCUUCUACUCGUGUAUAAAGAAUCUCUGAUGGCUUCUACUUCUUCUAACCUUGCACCGGAAGUUCCGAGUGAUUUGCUAGAUGUCUUGCAGGAGUUUUCUGAUGUCUUUCCAGAUGAGAACCCAAAGGGUUUGCCACCAGUGCGUGGAAUUGAACAUCAGAUUGACUUUGUUCCGGGUGCAUCUCUACCUAACCGGCCAGCUUCAGAACCAAUCCGGUGGAGACCAAGGAACUUGAGAAACAAAUUGGAGACCUUAUGGAGAAAGGUUACAUCAGGGAAAGCCUCAGUCCUUGUGCCGUACCAGUUCUACUUGUCCCAAAAAAGGAUGGAUCAUGGCGCAUGUGUGUGGACUGCCGUGCCAUCAACAACAUUACGGUAAAGUAUAGGCAUCCCAUUCCUAGACUAGACAACAUGUUUGAUGAACUUUACGGCUCAUGUGUCUUUUCUAAGAUAGAUUUGAAAAGUGGCUAUCACCAAAUCCGAAUGAAAGAAGGUGAUGAAUGGAAAACUGCAUUUAAAACCAAGCGAGGAUUGUAUGAAUGGUUAGUCAUGCCAUUUGGUCUUACUAAUGCACCUAGCACUUUCAUACAAUUGAUGAACCAUAUCUUGGGAGCAUUCAUUGGUCAUUUUGUGGUAGUUUACUUUGAUGAUAUUCUUAUCUACAGCAAGAACAUGGAUGAACAUAAUAAACACUUGAAAUCUGUCCUUGAAGUUUUUAGAAAGGAACAUUUGUUUGCUAACCUUGGAAAGUGUUCUUUUGGCACAGAUCAUGUGGUUUUCUUAGGUUUCGUUGUAGGUGCUGAAGGACUCCGAGUGGACGAGGAGAAAAUCAAAGCCAUCCGAGACUGGCCAAUUCCAACAAACGUGAGUGAGGUAAGGAGCUUCCAUGGCCUUGCCGGAUUCUAUCGACGGUUUGUCCAAGACUUCAGUACCAUAGCAGCUCCCUUGACCGAAGUCAUUAAAAAGAAUGUUGGGUUCAAAUGGGAACAAGCUCAAGAGGAAGCUUUCCAAAUCCUAAAAGGGAAGUUGACUAACGCCCCUUUACUUGUUCUUCCUGAUUUUUCUAAAACGUUUGAGAUCGAAUGUGAUGCCUCGGGUGUUGGUAUUGGUGCAGUUUUGAUGCAGGAUAGGAAUCCCAUUGCUUAUUUCAGUGAGAAGCUUAGUGGCUCCACACUCAACUACCCAACUUAUGAUCAAGAGCUGUAUGCUCUGGUGAGAGUCCUUCAAACGUGGCAACACUAUCUUUGGCCUAAGGAAUUCGUUAUCCACACGGAUCAUCAGUCCCUGAAACACCUUAAGGGCCAACAGAAGCUGAACAAGAGGCAUGCCCGCUGGGUUGAGUUCAUUGAGACAUUUCCUUAUGUCAUCAAAUACAAGCAAGGUAAGGAAAACGUUGUGGCUGAUGCUUUGUCCCGAAGGUAUACUCUUAUUUCAGCCCUUGAAACAAAACUUCUUGGUUUUGAAUUUAUCAAAGACUUGUAUGCUUCUGAUCCGGAUCUUAAAGAAAUUUUCAACAAGUGUUCCCGAGUGGCUUAUGGUAAAUACUAUCAGAAUUCUGGUUUUCUUUUCUAUGAUAACCGUUUGUGUGUGCCCCAAUGUUCUUUGAGGGAGUUGUUUUUCAGGGAAUCUCAUGGAGGAGGUCUUAUGGGACACUUUGGAAUCAAGAAGACAUACAAGGCCGUGUCUGAUCAUUUCUAUUGGCCUAGUUUGAUGAAGGACGUUGAGAGAAUUUGUGGCCGAUGUGUGGUGUGCAAGAAGUCCAAAGCCAAAGCAUCCAGUCACGGUUUGUACUCGGCCUUACCCAUUCCUUCUCAUUCUUGGAUUGAUAUUUCUAUGGAUUUUGUUCUUGGUUUGCCUAGAACUAAGAAUGGCUGAGACUCUAUCUUUGUGGUUGUAGAUAGAUUUUCGAAAAUGGCUCACUUUAUUCCUUGCCAUAAAACUGAUGAUGCUGUACAAGUUGCUGAUCUGUUCUUUAGGGAAAUUGUGAGAUUGCAUGGAAUGCCUAAGACCAUUGUUUCUGAUCGUGAUGCUAAGUUUCUUAGUUAUUUUUGGAAAACUUUGUGGUCUAAGUUAGGAACGAGAUUGAUGUUUUCCACAACUUGUCAUCCGCAAACUGAUGGUCAAACUGAAGUUGUUAAUCGAACUUUGUCUGCUUUGCUUAGAUCUUUGGUCAAGAAAAAUCUUAAGUCUUGGGAAGAUUGCUUGCCUCAUGUUGAGUUUGCUUAUAAUCAUGCUGUGCAUUCAGCUACAAAGUUCUCUCCUUUUGAAGUUGUUUAUGGUUUUAACCCCUUAUCUCCACUUGAUCUUUUACCUUUGCCUUUGAGUGAAAGAGUUAGUACAGAUGGUAAAAGAAGGGCGGACACUAUCAAGAAGCUUCAUGAACAAGUUCGAGUCAACAUUGAAACCAAAACCGAGGGUUACAAAAGAUAUGCCAACAAGAAGCAAAAAGAGUUGGUUUGGGUUCAUUUGAGGAAGGAACGAUUUCCGGAAGAAAGGAAGUCCAAACUGAUGCCUAGAGUCGACGGUCCAUUCCAGAUUCUUAGAAAGAUCAAUGAUAAUGCUUAUCAGCUUGACUUGGAAGGUAAGUAUGAUAUCUCUUCAAGUUUUAAUGUUGCUGAUCUAUCUCCUUUUCUUGCAGAUGAUCAAGAUUUGUGGACAAAUCCUUUUGAAGAGGGAAGGAAUGAUGUGCCUCAGUCCGAGGAACCCGACCAUCAGGUAGAUCAGGACAUCCCAACCGAGGUUCAUCAUCCCAGCCGAACCAGUCAGCAAGGCCGAGCUGUGUACCGGAUCGAUCCACGGAUGGACGGACAGGAGCUUAGACUGGAUCCUCGACCGUUCGACCAAACUAACUGUACCAGAUCAUCUCUCUCCCGGACAACUCGCAAUCUCAGACGGACGGUCAAGUCGUACAAGGAACUGGACGCGACUUCUCUCUUCUCGCCCGUUUGGAACGUACCGACCGUAUUGACGAACUGAUCGAUCCAUUUGAUCAGUUCAUGCACUUUGAUCAUCCGAAUCUCUCUAAGGCACAUAUUCUUCAUCUUUCAGAAGACUUCGGACGAUUAUGGUCGAAGAUGGUUCAGGAAACGGACAAGUCGAAAUAGACAGACCGGCCCGCGACCGUCCUGCUCCUUGCCGCGGUUCAACCAGUCGAACACAAGCCAGCAGAAGGGUCACUUUGACCAGGCCGCAAAUUGAAGAGUCUUUCUUCUUUGUCUUUCAAAAUUCUAGUCAAAUGUUUUUUAAUUUUAUUUGUCUUUCAAACUUCUAGUCAAGUAGCCCCUUUGUCUCCUACUUGUACUAUAAAUAAGUGUUUCAUUUCAUGAAUAAAAUCAGAUCAUUUUGGAUUAAGUUUCUGAGUUUAAACUCUCUGUUCUCUUUAGAACUUGUUUUCGAUUGUCUUCGUGUGUCAUAUCCGAGCAAUUCACUUCUCAACUAGUUGGUCUUGUGAGUCAUAUCAAGCAACCAGUUCGAGAUCUUCCUUGGC
This 6353-nucleotide long non-coding RNA is filed under the name Brassica rapa (field mustard). RNAcentral describes it as "long non-coding RNA (BRAP_LNC008447)". Lineage: Eukaryota; Viridiplantae; Streptophyta; Magnoliopsida; Brassicales; Brassicaceae. The record is from RNAcentral.